AAUAAAUUUCUUAUGGUUUAAAAAAUUUAUAAUAAAUUUGUUUUACAUAUAAAUUUUAGUGUUAGUUUUUUAUUAUUUUAAUAAUAAUUGAUUUUUUUUUAUAGUAAUUAAUAUUAAAAAUUUAAGAAAUUAAGAUUUAGCAUUAUAAAAAUUAUUAACUAAUUUUGUGCCAGCAGUUGCGGUUAAACAAAAAAUAAAUUAAAUUUUUUUAGUGAUUAAUUAGUGAUUAUUGUUUAAUUAAAAAUUUAAAUUAUUAAGUGAAAUUUUAAUUUAAUAAAAAAUUAUAAAUAUUUUAUGUUUAUUAAUAAAUUUUAUGAAAAACUAGGAUUAGAUACCCUACUAUUAAAAAUUUAAAUUUAAAUACUAAAAUAGUAGAUAAUUAUUUAUUGAAACUUAAAUAAUUUGGCGGUAUUUUAGUUCAUUUAGAGGAAUCUGUUUAUUAAUUGAUAGUCCACGAGUAAAUUUACUUAAUUUAAAAGUUUAUAUAUCGUUGUUAAAAAAAUAUUUUUAAAUAAAAAUAAUAUUUAAAAAUUUAAAUAUUAAAUUAAAUCAGAUCAAGAUGUAGUUUAUAAUUAAGAAUAUAAUGGAUUACAAUAAUUUUAUUUAAAUGAAUUUUAGUUUGAAAUAAUUAAUUGAAAGUGGAUUUAACUGUAAUUUUUUAUAAAUUGAAAAAAUGAUUGAAAAUUAAAAUAUGUACAUAUUGCCCGUCACUUUCAUUAAAAAAUUGAAAUAAGUCGUAACAAAGUAGGGGUACUGGAAAGUGUUCCUAGAAAGA
RNAcentral lists this non-coding RNA (775 nucleotides) under Pseudandraca sp. 1 MD-2023a. Lineage: Eukaryota; Metazoa; Arthropoda; Insecta; Lepidoptera; Endromidae. The record is from RNAcentral.